CGGGCAGGCGGGCCCACCAGUUGGGUGUAAAAUCUCCCGGCUCAACCGGGAGGGGCCAUUCGAAACUGUGGGUCUGGAGGGCGAUAGAGGAGCGUGGAAUUCCGGGUGGAGUGGUGAAAUGCGUAGAGAUCCGGAGGAACACCAGAGGCGAAAGCGGCGCUCUGGGUCGCGCCUGACGCUGAACCGCGAAAGCCAGGGGAGCGAACGGGAUUAGAAACCCCGGUGUCCUGGCCGUAAACGAUGCCAACUGGGCGUGGGUGUGGAAGCACAUCCGGGCCGCAGCGAACGCGCUAAGUGGCCGCCUGGGGAGUACGACCGCAAGGUUAAA
Molecule: ribosomal RNA, 328 nt
Filed under: uncultured bacterium
Lineage: Bacteria
Description: bacterial SSU rRNA
Rfam family: Bacterial small subunit ribosomal RNA
Source: RNAcentral